RNAcentral lists this long non-coding RNA (6918 nucleotides) under Nicotiana benthamiana. RNAcentral describes it as "long non-coding RNA (NBEN_LNC013901)". Lineage: Eukaryota; Viridiplantae; Streptophyta; Magnoliopsida; Solanales; Solanaceae. The record is from RNAcentral.
CCACCUUUUAUUAAAAUACUUUCUCCCUCAUUUUAACACACUUCUGAAAAAACUAAGAGAGAUGGGAGAGAGGGUUGUUGAGAGAGAAAGUAAAUUCUUCAUCAUCUAGUCUUUAAAAAUCAUUGGAGCUUGGGAAAUUCUUGGUGCAUUGUCUUCUCUAUUGAUUUCUCAGGUAAAAUACCUAACCCAUUUCCCCCAUAUUUCAAAAUUAAGCUUGGGAAGGGAACCCCAUAGACUUGCUUUGAAAUUUCUUCAUUAAAUCUUCAUGCAUGUCUUUAAAACCCUAAAAUCUUGUAAAAAGGGGAUUGGGUAAAGACUAUGAGUUUAAAUUUCUAAAACCUAAGUGUUGUUCAUGAACUAGAUUGACUUCUUGAUUUUUUGGAUUGGGCUAAUGUUUUAAAUGGAAUAAAUCAACCCCAGGUAUGUAUGGAUAAUUGUGAUCCUUGUGAAAUUGCCCUGUGCUAGUUGUGAAAUUGCUGAUAGUUGAUAUUAAUGUGAAGCUUUUGUGUUGUAUAAUUGUGUGGUAACACUUUGUGGUGAAAGUUGAGGAACAUGUAAUUGGAACAAUGGAAUCAAUGUGGAACAAUGGAAAUGGAAAUAAUGUGGAACAAUGGAAAUGAAAACAAUGUAGAACAAUGGAAACAGGAAUAAUGUGGAAUAGUGUAAAUGGAAAUAUUGUGGAACAACGUGUUCGAUUAGUUUUGAAUGACUGUUGUGAUGGUAUCAAUGGUGUACCAAUUUGAUGAACACGAGGAAUUGUUGUUUCUAGUUGUGGAAUUGCACUACCCUUGUUAUGGAUCUAUAUUAACAAUGUGCUAUAGUUGAUUUCUUGUAUUUGUUAUUGUGCUAUUUGUUGUUGUCAAUUAAAAAACUGUCAGGCGGCGUAGGGUUGCAUGCCGCAACACGGUGAAAUAAGGUGUAUGUUUGGGUGAUAAGGUUAGCCGAGGUAAUAAAGGUGGAUGAGGAUAUAAGGGUGGAUAAUGUGAUCCAAUAUCACUAUUGAUAUGAAUAUGAAUAGUGAAAUGAUAAAUGCGAAAACAAUAGGUUCCAUCAAAACCUUAGACAAGGAAUUUAGCUACUCAUGGGUAUGGCUAAAAAAGAAAAAAUAAUAUUCAUCAUAUACUACCAAUAAAAUGCAAAAGAAAAGAAGAAAUAUGGUUUGGGUAUUCCCUCACAAUGUUUUUCCUUCAAAGAACUCUAAAAACUUAAUACAUGCCUCCUUUGAGCGAAGUCUAGUAUUUAGAAUACGUUAUAGGCUAAAUUACUGUGUUGACACUUUCGUCCCACAAGUUUACUAUGCCUACCGUGGUUCUGCCACAGUCGCAGUAGAACUGCGACCAAACAUCCCCUCUGAUACUCUUCUUGUUCGCGAUAGCAUCUCACCGCGGUUCUGCCGCGGUCGCGGUGGAACAACGACAGAACAGUUUCUCUAAUUCUUGAGCCUGUUUUUGGCGUGGUUCACUUAGGACUUUUCCCGAUUGGCCUCUUUUUCUUCAUUUUUGACUCCAAAAGUACUCCCGAACCUUCCCUAGUCAUAUAUAACCUGCAAAUCAUGAAAAGCACUCGUAAGAGCAUUUGGUUAUCACUUUUAUUACCAAAACUAUGCAAGAAAGUGAUUAUUUAGGGCCUGAAGAUAGUUAAAGUCACAUAUUAUUAUGCCCAUAUAAGUAUUUAUAUUAACCAAACUGCACACCAUCAAAUAUAUAGUAUUGUUAAGCAAAUCGGUUCCACUGGCUACGAUUGUGAACAAAUAUUGGAAAAGAUAGUUAAAUUCACAUAUUAUUAGGCCCAUUUAAGUAUUUAUAUUAACCAAGCUGCACACCAUCAAAUAUAUAGUAUAGUUAAGCAAAUCGGUUCCACUAGCUAAGAUUGUCAACAAAUAUUGAAAUAAAAAGGACAGAUCGGUGCACUGAGCAUUAUCCUAUAUUUAUGAAGAAAAUAGUUUUUACAGUUCAAAUUCUAAUCUCUUGAUUACAUAACACCAACUUUGCUCAUUAUGCCAUUUCCCCUUCCCAAAAGAAAUUAAAAUAAAGGUUGAAAAAUAGUUGUUGGCGACUAAUAAAUCCUUUCUAAAAAAGGUCAUAAUAAAAGAGGUACUUCCUUCUAUUUGUUGGAACAGGAUAGCAACAAAUACAUUGAUCUAAUUCGUCAGAAAAGAAAGAAUCUCACGUGAUACUGGUUCUAUGUCUCUGAUCAACUCUUCACAGAAUUGUAUUAUUGUUUACGUUAUCUAAUCAAUCAAAGACUAAAGAUGAUACAAUGUAAAAAAAUCAGUUUAUAUGGUUGGUUUGGGAAAUUACAUCUAUAACUAAACUCAUACUCGAGCAGUUAAUAUUCUUGUUCUUAAAAGAAUAGACGUAGGCCUAAAAUUUAAUACCUUACACUUGAAAGAUACAAAUUUCAAAUUCUCUUUCUGUUUUCUAUUUACUUAUCAUAAGCUGGAUUUGCCUUCAUAAAAUCUUUUGCUCCUAGAUAACUUUUAUUAACUCAUUAAUAUUAAGUACUUUUCUCUUCAACUUCAAUUCAAAUACUUUCUAAUAUUUACUUAAGUUGAAACAUUUGGGAAGAAGUAGAAGUGCAUUAAAAUUAUAAGCAUAAUAAACCUUCCUUCCUUGUUAGAGAUUAUCCAAAAUGAGAAAACUGAGAGGACAUGAUAGACACCAAUAUCUAACUCGUCCUUUAGGACUGAUAUGCAUAACUCCAUGCCAAAUUCCCACAUCUUUGUCGUCCCAGCCAAAUGACAGUGACACUUGUGCUUGCCAAUACUCAUUUAGCAAUCGCAAAAGGGGCUAGAAUAUUAGGUACGAGCCUAAAAUAUUUAGAAGCUUUUACUUGGAUCAUGUAUUGAUAUUAAAAUAUUUAUCAAUUAUAUAAUGAGUAACUUUUACAUAGCUUUUACAACUAUUACAAAAAAAUAAGUUUACAACACACAAUUUAACUGUUACUUCAAUAGUAUACACAAAUAUAAGUUAUACUCAUGGAAAUUAAUGUAAGGCCCCGUGAAAAUGAGUGAUCAUGGGCAUGGGUAAAAAAACUGAAUAAAGAUGUGGGUGAACAAUAGGUUCCAUCAAAACCUUAGACAAGGAAUUUAGCUACUCAUGGGUAUGCUAAACAAACUAAAUUAAUAUUCAUCAUAAAUUACUAAUAAAACUCAAAGGAAAAGAAGAAAUAUGGUUUGGGUAUUCCCUCACAAUUGUUUUUCCUUCAAAGAAAUCUAAAAACUUAAUACAUGCCUCCUUUGGUUGAUGUCUAGUGUUUCAAAUAGGUUUUAGGGCUAAAUUACCGUGUUGACACUUCGUCCCUCAAGUUUAUCCCGUGGUUCUGCCGCGGUCUCGGUAGAACCGCGACCAAACAUCCCCUCUAAUACUCCUCUUGUCCGCGGUAGCAUCUCACCGCGGUUCUGCCGCGGUCGCGGUGGUACAAUGACAAAAAAAUUUCUGUAAUUCUUGAGCCUGUUUUUGGCGUGGUUCACUUAGAACUUUUCCCGAUUGGCCUCUUUUUCUUCUUUUUGACUCCAAAAGUACUCCCGAGCCUUCCCUUGUCAUAUAUAACCUGCAAAUCAUGAAAAGCACUCGUAAGAGCAUUUGGUUAUCACUUUUAUUACCAAAACUAUGCAAGAAAGUGAUUAUUUAGGGCCUGAAGAUAGUUAAAGUCACAUAUUAUUAUGCCCAUAUAAGUAUUUAUAUUAACCAAACUGCACACCAUCAAAUAUAUAGUAUUGUUAAGCAAAUCGGUUCCACUGGCUACGAUUGUGAACAAAUAUUGGAAGAAAUAGGACAGAUCAGUGCACUGAGCAUUACCCUAUAUUUAUGAAGAAAAUUGUUUUUACUAUUCAAGUUCGUAGUCUCUUGAUUACAUAGAAACAACUUUGCUAGUUAUGUCAAUGCCCCUUCCCAAAAGAAAUUAGAAUAAAGGUUGAAAAAUAGUUGUCGGCGACUGAUAAAUCCUUACUAAAAAUGGUCAUAAUAAAAGAGGUACUUCCUUCUAUUUAUUGGAACACGAUGGCAACAAAUACAUUGAUCUAAUUCGUUAUAGAAUUUUAUAAUUGUUUCCGUUAUCUAAUAAAUCAAAGACUAAAGAUGAUACAAUCUAAAAAAAUCAGUUUAUAUGGUUGUAUUAGGAAAUCACAUCAAUAACUAAACUCAUAUUCGAGUAGUUAAUAUUCUUUUUCCGAAAGGAAUACACGUAGGCCUAAAAUUUAAUACCUUACACUUGAAAGAUUCAAAUUUCCAAUUCUCUUUCUGUUUUCUAUCUUAUUAUCAUAAGCUGGAUUUGACUUCAUUAAAUUUUUUUCUCCCAGAUAACUUUUAUUAACUCCUUAAUAUUGUGUACUUUUCUCUUCAACUUCAAUUCAAAUAGUGUCCAAUAUUUACUUAAGUUGAAACAUUUGGGAAGAAGUAGAAGUGCAUUAAAAUUAUAAGCAUAAUAAACCUUCCUUCCUUGUUAGAGAUUUUCCAAACAAUGAGAGAACUGAGAGGACAUGAAUGACAUUAAUAUCUAACUCAUCAUUUAGGACUGAUAUGUAUAACUCCCUGCAAAUUCCCACAUCUUUGUCUUCCCAGCCAAAAGAAAGUGACACUUGUGCUUGCCAAUACUCAUUUGGCAAUCGCAAACGGGGCUAGAAUAUUAGGCACGGGCCUAAUAAAUUUAGAAGCUUUUACUUUGAUCAUGUAUUUAUAUUAAAAUAUUUAUCUAUUAUACAAUGAGUAACUUUCACAUAGCUUUUACAACGAUUACAAAAAAUUAGUUUACAACACACAAUUAAACUGUUACUUCAACAUUUUUAACAAAUAUAAGUUUUCCUCAUGGAAAUUAAUGUAAGGCCCCGUGAAAAUGAGUGCUCAAAUGUUAGCAGCUCAUAGAGCCGAGUAUCAGAUUCUUUUUAUUGUUUUGAACUUGAAAAUGUGAAAUCAAUAUUUUUCCAGAAAAUGGUCAAAAUACGGUCCAGAAUGCGGUCGCAGAUCAGCUAUGCGGACCGCAUUCCUACCGCAGAGUAAAUCAGAUAGCAACCAAUUUUUUUAUGUUGAAAAUGCUGCCAUUUCUGCGAUCGCAUACUCAAUAUGCGGACCGCAAAGUGAUCGUAUAUUGUCCGUGAGGAAAUUCGAAGGUCAGUUCUGCGGUGUAUUGUGCGACCGCAAAACUCAAAUGCGGACCGCAUAUUCACCGCAUUCGCAAACCGAGAGGUUUGAAAUAUUGGCCAAUUUUGCAGUCCAUUCUAAAGACCACAUGUCUGUUAUGUGAUCAUAGAUCAAACUCGCCUGGUAUUUUUCUAAAAUUUUUGACCCUACCACCUUUUAUUAAAACACUUUCUCCUUCAUUUUUAACACACUUCUGAUAAAAAUAAGAGAGAGGGAGUGAGGGUUGUUGUGAGAGAAAGGGAAUUCUUCAUCAUCUAGUCUUUCAAAAUCAUUGGAGCUUGGGAAAUUCUUGGUGCAUUAUCUUCUCUAUUGAUUUCUCAUGUAAAAUACCAAACCCAUUUCCCCCAAAUUUCUAAAUUAAGCUUGGGAAGGGAACCCCAUAGACUUGCUUUGAAAUUUCUUCAUAAAAUCUUCAUGCAUGUCUUCAAAACCCUAAAAUCUUCUAAAAAGGGGAUUGGGUAGUAAAUAUGAGUUUAAAUUUCUUAAACCUAAGUGUUGUUAAUGAACUAGAUUGACUUCUUGAUUUCAUGGCGAAUUGGGCUAAUGGUUUAAUUGGAAUAAAUCAACCCCAGGUAUGUAUGGCUAACUGUAAACCUUGUGAAAUUGCCCAGUGCUAGUUGUGAAAUUAUUGAUAGUUGAUAUUCAUGUGAAAAUUAUUGUGAAGCUUUUGUGUUGUAUAACUGUGUGGUAACACUUUUUGGUGAAAGUUGCGGAACUUGUAAUUGGAACAAUGGAGUCAAUGUGGAACAAUGGAAAUGGAAAUAACGUGGAACAGUGGAAAUUAAAACAAUGUAGAACAAUGGAAACGUGAAUAAUGUGGAAUAGUGGAAAUCAAAAUAUUGUGGAAUAAUGUGUGUGAUUAGUUGUGAAUGACUAUUGUGAUGGUCUCAAUGGUGUACCAAUUUGAUGAACACGAGGAAUUGUUGUUUUUAGUUGUGGAAUUGCACUACCCUUUAUGGAUCUUUGUUAACAAUGUGACAUAGUUGAUUUGUUGUAUUUGUUGUUGUGUUGUUUGUUGUUGUGAAUUAAAAAACUGUUAGGCGGGGUCGGAUUGCGCGCCGCAACACCGUGAAAUAAGGUGUGGGUUGGGGUGAUAUGGGUGGCCGAGGUAAUAAGUGUGGAUGAGGAAAUAAGGGUGGAAAAUGUUAUCCAAUGUCACUAUUGAUAUGAAUAUGAAUCAUGAAAUGACAAAUGUUAAAAUGUGAAAGGAGACAGCAGGAAAGUUUGCAACCUGUGGGGCACUGAUCGCCCCUUUGUAUGACUACUUGGAUCAUUGUUGUGAAAUGUUUUGUUGUUGCUUCAUGGUUGUACUUGCACUAUUGUUGUUCUGUUCUAUACUUGUAUAUGUAAUUUGGCUUGAGUUUACUUGGGACAGAGUUUGUUCAUACAUGCGAGUACAAUUCAAAUGUUCUGACGUCCCUCUUAUCGGGAGUGCUACAUUCAAUUUAUGGUUGUAGGUAGUUCCGUGGCAGGCACCCAGUCUACCGUUCAUAGAUCCUCCUUCUCUCUACCAGCGGUAUUCGUUUUGGUGAGCCCCUUUCCACUCGGGGCCUUGUGUGGCUCAUGCCACCUAUGUUGUUGUAUUUUGGAGUCUUGUGUCCUUUUGUAAAGGUAUAUCCGGGGCCUUGUCGCCGGCAAGCGUUAUACUUUCUCUUAGAGGCUCCGUAGAAAGUAGUAUGCGGGUUAGAACUUAUGUAUAAAGGUGUAUGUUUUGGGCGCUGUAAAACUUGUAUACCACAUUCCCUGUUAAUUAUAGUAUAUGUUUUGUAAAAGAUGUUCG